Long non-coding RNA from Syngnathus acus (greater pipefish), 1146 nucleotides. RefSeq lists it as uncharacterized. The transcript has 2 exons. Lineage: Eukaryota; Metazoa; Chordata; Actinopteri; Syngnathiformes; Syngnathidae. The record is from RefSeq and is a predicted model, not a curated record.
CGUACACUGGAAAGGACCUUAAGGCAUACAAGAGUCUGGAUGCCUACAAGUAUUUUACAGCAGGUUUUGUGCAUGAUGGGCUGAUAUGGCAGAUUCCAAACAAGAAUCGAUUUCUUCUCAUGACCAAGGUAAAACACUCUCAACGGAUGAAUGAUCCUCCCCUCAGACCUUGGGUAGCAAUAGCGAAAGAUGGUCAGAUCCUGUGCUGCCACUGUACCUGCAUGGCUGGAUUGGGUGAAACAUGUUCACAUUCAGCAGCAUCCCUGUUCGCCCUGGAGACAUUAAUACGUAUGAAGACGGCCACUUCAUGCACAUCACUACCUUGUCAGUGGCUGAAACCAUCAGCAUCGCACAUAGAAUAUGCUGAAGGAUGCAAUAUCGAUUUUGCUCGUCCAGCCCAGAAACGAAAGUCAGAAGUUUCAACUCCUGAGGAAAGUGCUGCGAGAAAACUGCUGAAUGUUCCUCCACCAACUGAAGAGCAGAAAGCUGCCUUUUACAAGGCUUUGUCUGAAUGCGGUGGAAGACCAGCAAUUUUGAGCAUUGUCCUUGACUAUGCUGACAACUUUGUGCCAAGGGCAGUGAAGCGAAAGCUUCCUGUACCUCUCUCACAGCUGUACAUGUACAGCGUUUCAAACUGUCCUUCAGUUCAUCAAGUUCUGCACGCAGAUUUUUACACUCUGCAGUGAGGGAAUCCAUUGCUUCCCCAGUGAUAUCCGUCUGUGUGGCAGUAGUCACCAUGCCUUCUUUUCGAAUCUCAGCGUGCACCACAUCUUCACCAGCGGGUAGUUGAUCAUUUUCACAAGGGACAGACUGGGAAAUAUUGACAAGUGCUGCUGCUGCUGCCAAUGCCCUCUCGCGGUCUCUCUUGCGCUGCUUGAGAUUUUGUCUUCUCUCAAAGAUCUUCAUUGAACAUUUGAGUUUUCGUUUGUGAGGUGACUGGGUAUGCUCAAAUAUACUUGGCACAUAGUCUGGGGAUAGUGGAUCUUCGCUUUUUGCACCUGAAACAAUUAAACAAUCACAUUAUUCAUAAUGACUACCAUAAAUAAUUAAGCACGUUGUUGAAGGGGAUAUACCCAGUUCAAUUUGUUUCGUAAUGGCAUUUCAUAACUUGACAUAUUAAAAAACUGAAUAGAGUGAAAUCAUUCA